AGCUUGUUUUACUUGCCUUUUUUCUUUUGAUAGGCAAUCUAGGCUUGAACCCGUUACCUCUGUUGAAACACACCUUGUCUACCAUUGAGCUGUGGGCUUGAGCCCAUUUUACUGAUUCCUUAAGUACAUUUUUGGAAUUCCUUUUUUUUUUUCCUUCUAUCUUUGAAUCUAAGCUGGAUACGUCUGUCAAAUUCAGGGUGAGGUUUUCGGGUUCUGCCGUUUUUCUCAUAAUAGUGAUGAUAAUCAAACCCUAUAUUUGACUGCAAUGCAAGGCCAGCAUGGAAUCAUUGUCUCUUGGAACACUAUAAAAGAUUAUGGGCAGGCGAUUGGGACCAAGGCUUCUUGGUAGGGCUGAUGAUUCUAUGGUUGUUGAUGCUAGAAGAUGCUUAUUAUGAAGACUAGGUGGAAAUGGUGAUCGAGAAGAUGCUUCAUUAAGUACACAUGGUCGGACGGGGUCUUUGAAUGCCCAUUAUUGCUAGCUAAUUAUAGAGGUUCUGGGUUCUUGGUAUGGUGUUAUUCUUGAUGCAUGUUUCAUGGCUUGUUUCUACUGUAAGAUCAAUGCCUCUCCAUACCACGGGUUCUUACCAAGUCGUUGACGGGAAGAAACGUGGCUACAAUUUGGCCUUUAUGAUCUUUUUGGAUGCAUGCUUGGGUUUCUUUGAGACACAGUUUUUACAAAUUAAAAUUGUGAAAAGCUCUCUUUGGGCAGCUUCAACAGCUAAGUGGAAUUUUAAAUGCAUCAUAUGGAACACCACGGUCCAGCUUUGAUGAUUUUGGUUGGGGGAAGGGUAUCUGUUCUCUAUAUAAAAUGUUGCAGGUUGUUUUGCAAGCU
This is a long non-coding RNA of Magnolia sinica, 832 nucleotides long. RefSeq lists it as uncharacterized. The transcript has 6 exons. Lineage: Eukaryota; Viridiplantae; Streptophyta; Magnoliopsida; Magnoliales; Magnoliaceae. The record is from RefSeq and is a predicted model, not a curated record.